Molecule: long non-coding RNA, 313 nt
Filed under: Nicotiana benthamiana
Lineage: Eukaryota; Viridiplantae; Streptophyta; Magnoliopsida; Solanales; Solanaceae
Description: long non-coding RNA (NBEN_LNC008561)
Source: RNAcentral
UGUUAAGACACCCCAACCUGGUGCUAGUAGAUUAGCAAUUCUACUAGCAUGUGCUUGCUUAACUUUUGUUUCUACUAGUCCUACUAGGUUAAUGUUAUUUUUCCAAAUGUAUUCCCUAAAUUCUUUCUGCUUGUACCUCUUAUUUACACCCCUUAUGUUCCACACUAACCACUUCAUUGGUAAGAUGUUGAUGUAGAGUUCCCAACCUCCCCCGGAGGUUCAUCUUUACUACUAGAUACUGCUGCAAAUCUGUUACUCACAGUGAUGGGCGACAGAGGUGGAAAAUUGCUACUGUUGAGUACUGGGAUCUGAG